UAGUGGCGAACGGGUGAGUAACACGUGAGUAACCUGCCCUUAACUCUGGGAUAAGCCUUGGAAACGGGGUCUAAUACUGGAUAUUGACUUUUCACCGCAUGGUGGUUGGUUGAAAGAUUUAUUGGUUUUGGAUGGACUCGCGGCCUAUCAGCUUGUUGGUGAGGUAAUGGCUCACCAAGGCGACGACGGGUAGCCGGCCUGAGAGGGUGACCGGCCACACUGGGACUGAGACACGGCCCAGACUCCUACGGGAGGCAGCAGUGGGGAAUAUUGCACAAUGGGCGAAAGCCUGAUGCAGCGACGCCGCGUGAGGGAUGACGGCCUUCGGGUUGUAAACCUCUUUCAGUAGGGAACAAGGCCAGUGUUUAGCUGGUUGAGGGUACUUGCAGAAGAAGCGCCGGCUAACUACGUGCCAGCAGCCGCGGUAAUACGUAGGGCGCAAGCGUUAUCCGGAAUUAUUGGGCGUAAAGAGCUCGUAGGCGGUUUGUCGCGUCUGCCGUGAAAGUCCGGGGCUCAACCCCGGAUCUGCGGUGGGUACGGGCAGACUAGAGUGAUGUAGGGGAGACUGGAAUUCCUGGUGUAACGGUGAAA
This 591-nucleotide ribosomal RNA is filed under the name Adelie penguin guano bacterium 66. Its description in RNAcentral is "bacterial SSU rRNA". It matches the Rfam family "Bacterial small subunit ribosomal RNA", at positions 93 to 686 of the family's 1533-position model. The record is from RNAcentral.